This 2900-nucleotide ribosomal RNA is filed under the name Klebsiella pneumoniae. RNAcentral's name for it is "bacterial LSU rRNA". It matches the Rfam family "Bacterial large subunit ribosomal RNA". The record is from RNAcentral. Lineage: Bacteria; Pseudomonadati; Pseudomonadota; Gammaproteobacteria; Enterobacterales; Enterobacteriaceae.
UUAAGCGACUAAGCGUACACGGUGGAUGCCCUGGCAGUCAGAGGCGAUGAAGGACGUGCUAAUCUGCGAAAAGCGUCGGUAAGGUGAUAUGAACCGUUAUAGCCGGCGAUGUCCGAAUGGGGAAACCCAGUGCAAUUCGUUGCACUAUCGUUAACUGAAUACAUAGGUUAACGAGGCGAACCGGGGGAACUGAAACAUCUAAGUACCCCGAGGAAAAGAAAUCAACCGAGAUUCCCCCAGUAGCGGCGAGCGAACGGGGAGCAGCCCAGAGUCUGAAUCAGCUUGUGUGUUAGUGGAACGGUCUGGAAAGUCCGACGGUACAGGGUGAUAGUCCCGUACACCAAAAUGCACAGGUUGUGAACUCGAAGAGUAGGGCGGGACACGUGGUAUCCUGUCUGAAUAUGGGGGGACCAUCCUCCAAGGCUAAAUACUCCUGACUGACCGAUAGUGAACCAGUACCGUGAGGGAAAGGCGAAAAGAACCCCGGCGAGGGGAGUGAAAAAGAACCUGAAACCGUGUACGUACAAGCAGUGGGAGCACCUUCGGGUGUGACUGCGUACCUUUUGUAUAAUGGGUCAGCGACUUAUAUUCUGUAGCAAGGUUAACCGUAUAGGGGAGCCGCAGGGAAACCGAGUCUUAACUGGGCGUUAAGUUGCAGGGUAUAGACCCGAAACCCGGUGAUCUAGCCAUGGGCAGGUUGAAGGUUGGGUAACACUAACUGGAGGACCGAACCGACUAAUGUUGAAAAAUUAGCGGAUGACUUGUGGCUGGGGGUGAAAGGCCAAUCAAACCGGGAGAUAGCUGGUUCUCCCCGAAAGCUAUUUAGGUAGCGCCUCGUGAACUCAUCUUCGGGGGUAGAGCACUGUUUCGGCUAGGGGGUCAUCCCGACUUACCAACCCGAUGCAAACUACGAAUACCGAAGAAUGUUAUCACGGGAGACACACGGCGGGUGCUAACGUCCGUCGUGAAGAGGGAAACAACCCAGACCGCCAGCUAAGGUCCCAAAGUCAUGGUUAAGUGGGAAACGAUGUGGGAAGGCACAGACAGCCAGGAUGUUGGCUUAGAAGCAGCCAUCAUUUAAAGAAAGCGUAAUAGCUCACUGGUCGAGUCGGCCUGCGCGGAAGAUGUAACGGGGCUAAACCAUGCACCGAAGCUGCGGCAGCGACACUAUGUGUUGUUGGGUAGGGGAGCGUUCUGUAAGCCUGCGAAGGUGACCUGUGAGGGUUGCUGGAGGUAUCAGAAGUGCGAAUGCUGACAUAAGUAACGAUAAAGCGGGUGAAAAGCCCGCUCGCCGGAAGACCAAGGGUUCCUGUCCAACGUUAAUCGGGGCAGGGUGAGUCGACCCCUAAGGCGAGGCCGAAAGGCGUAGUCGAUGGGAAACAGGUUAAUAUUCCUGUACUUGGUGUUACUGCGAAGGGGGGACGGAGAAGGCUAUGUUAGCCGGGCGACGGUUGUCCCGGUUUAAGCAUGUAGGCUGGUUAUCCAGGCAAAUCCGGAUAAUCAAGGCUGAGGUGUGAUGACGAGGCACUACGGUGCUGAAGUAACAAAUGCCCUGCUUCCAGGAAAAGCCUCUAAGCAUCAGGUAACAUCAAAUCGUACCCCAAACCGACACAGGUGGUCAGGUAGAGAAUACCAAGGCGCUUGAGAGAACUCGGGUGAAGGAACUAGGCAAAAUGGUGCCGUAACUUCGGGAGAAGGCACGCUGGUGUGUAGGUGAAGCCCCUGCGGGUGGAGCUGAGACCAGUCGAAGAUACCAGCUGGCUGCAACUGUUUAUUAAAAACACAGCACUGUGCAAACACGAAAGUGGACGUAUACGGUGUGACGCCUGCCCGGUGCCGGAAGGUUAAUUGAUGGGGUUAUCCGUAAGGAGAAGCUCUUGAUCGAAGCCCCGGUAAACGGCGGCCGUAACUAUAACGGUCCUAAGGUAGCGAAAUUCCUUGUCGGGUAAGUUCCGACCUGCACGAAUGGCGUAAUGAUGGCCAGGCUGUCUCCACCCGAGACUCAGUGAAAUUGAACUCGCUGUGAAGAUGCAGUGUACCCGCGGCAAGACGGAAAGACCCCGUGAACCUUUACUAUAGCUUGACACUGAACAUUGAGCCUUGAUGUGUAGGAUAGGUGGGAGGCUUUGAAGCGUGGACGCCAGUCUGCGUGGAGCCAACCUUGAAAUACCACCCUUUAAUGUUUGAUGUUCUAACGUUGGCCCCUUACCGGGGUUGCGGACAGUGUCUGGUGGGUAGUUUGACUGGGGCGGUCUCCUCCCAAAGCGUAACGGAGGAGCACGAAGGUUAGCUAAUCCUGGUCGGACAUCAGGAGGUUAGUGCAAUGGCAUAAGCUAGCUUGACUGCGAGCGUGACGGCGCGAGCAGGUGCGAAAGCAGGUCAUAGUGAUCCGGUGGUUCUGAAUGGAAGGGCCAUCGCUCAACGGAUAAAAGGUACUCCGGGGAUAACAGGCUGAUACCGCCCAAGAGUUCAUAUCGACGGCGGUGUUUGGCACCUCGAUGUCGGCUCAUCACAUCCUGGGGCUGAAGUAGGUCCCAAGGGUAUGGCUGUUCGCCAUUUAAAGUGGUACGCGAGCUGGGUUUAGAACGUCGUGAGACAGUUCGGUCCCUAUCUGCCGUGGGCGCUGGAGAAUUGAGGGGGGCUGCUCCUAGUACGAGAGGACCGGAGUGGACGCAUCACUGGUGUUCGGGUUGUCAUGCCAAUGGCACUGCCCGGUAGCUAAAUGCGGAAGAGAUAAGUGCUGAAAGCAUCUAAGCACGAAACUUGCCCCGAGAUGAGUUCUCCCUGAGACUUUAAGUCUCCUGAAGGAACGUUAAAGACGAUGACGUUGAUAGGCCGGGUGUGUAAGCGCAGCGAUGCGUUGAGCUAACCGGUACUAAUGAACCGUGAGGCUUAACCUU